GGACUACUGGGGUUUCUAAUCCUGUUUGAUCCCCACGCUUUCGUGCAUCAGCGUCAGUUACAGUUUAGUGAGCUGCCUUCGCAAUCGGUGUUCUAUGACAUAUCUAAGUAUUUCACCACUACAUGUCAUAUUCCGCCCACUUCAAAUGUACUCAAGUUCUGCAGUAUCAAUGGCAAUUUCCGGGUUAAGCCCGAAGAUUUCACCACUGACUUACAAAACCGCCUACGCACCCUUUAAACCCAAUAAAUCCGGAUAACGCUUGGAUCCUUCGUAUUACCGCGGCUGCUGGCAC
This 292-nucleotide ribosomal RNA is filed under the name uncultured Bacteroidota bacterium. Its description in RNAcentral is "uncultured Bacteroidetes bacterium partial 16S ribosomal RNA". The record is from RNAcentral. Lineage: Bacteria; Pseudomonadati; Bacteroidota.